AGUGAACGCUGGCGGUAGGCCUAACACAUGCAAGUCGAACGGCAGCACAGUAAGAGCUUGCUCUUACGGGUGGCGAGUGGCGGACGGGUGAGGAAUACAUCGGAAUCUACUUUUUCGGGGGGGAUAACGUAGGGAAACUUACGCUAAUACAGCAUACGACCUACGGGUGAAAGCAGGGGAUCUUCGGACCUUGCGCGAUUGAAUGAGCCGAUGUCGGAUUAGCUAGUUGGCGGGGUAAAGGCCCACCAAGGCGACGAUCCGUAGCUGGUCUGAGAGGAUGAUCAGCCACACUGGAACUGAGACACGGUCCAGACUCCUACGGGAGGCAGCAGUGGGGAAUAUUGGACAAUGGGCGCAAGCCUGAUCCAGCCAUACCGCGUGGGUGAAGAAGGCCUUCGGGUUGUAAAGCCCUUUUGUUGGGAAAGAAAAGCAGCAGGUUAAUACCCCGCUGUUCUGACGGUACCCAAAGAAUAAGCACCGGCUAACUUCGUG
RNAcentral lists this ribosomal RNA (492 nucleotides) under uncultured bacterium. RNAcentral describes it as "partial 16S ribosomal RNA". It matches the Rfam family "Bacterial small subunit ribosomal RNA", at positions 29 to 507 of the family's 1533-position model. The record is from RNAcentral.